ACAUGUACUGUGGAGACUCGUCGACAUCUGGUAAUCAUCUUACUAAAAGAAUAGAGUCUGCGUGUGGCGAGCCACGGGACAGAAAUCGUUGAAAUGCUUACCGUCGUGCCCCGUCCUAAGUAUUUCUUUUAAGGAGAGCUAUAGAGUUACUUCAUGCCUUUGUUAGACAAAACGCUCAUCGCUUGACCGCGACUACGUUCGGCGACUGGUUGUCGCCUCGAGCCCGAGCGCACUAUCAUAAAUCUCAAAUAAGUACAGUCGAAUCGAAUGACAACAGUUUCUUAAUUCGGCUAUGGUGAAAUCUAUAUUACAGUACUAGGGGUCUUCCCAAAGUUCCGAAGGGAAGGUUCCGGUGUUCUUUCAUCUCCGACAUAUAUAUAUUGGACGAGUGUGAUAGUUGUAGUAGUUGGGCCUCGUCCGGUGUAAUUGUCACUAGUGGCUGUAGAUGUCGCUGCCGGGGUACUGCUGAUUUUUCCUCCGUUUUUUGAUGCGUAAGAAGUAAAAUCGGACUCCGGUCGCCGGGAUUCGAACCCGGGUUCCGAACGUUCGCAACCUAAGACGUUAACCACUGCGCUGCCGUCGUUCGACACUAGUUAGAGUCGAAUGGUGGUAUUUGGCUUGUCCAGUGCCGCCACAGAAUCAACGUUUCUCC
Molecule: unclassified non-coding RNA, 652 nt
Filed under: Bombus terrestris (buff-tailed bumblebee)
Lineage: Eukaryota; Metazoa; Arthropoda; Insecta; Hymenoptera; Apidae
Description: misc RNA ENSBTSG00005021081.1
Source: RNAcentral